GAUGAACGAUGGCGGCGUGCCUAAUACAUGCAAGUCGAGCGAACGGACGAGAAGCUUGCUUCUCUGAUGUUAGCGGCGGACGGGUGAGUAACACGUGGAUAACCUACCUAUAAGACUGGGAUAACUUCGGGAAACCGGAGCUAAUACCGGAUAAUAUUUUGAACCGCAUGGUUCAAAAGUGAAAGACGGUCUUGCUGUCACUUAUAGAUGGAUCCGCGCUGCAUUAGCUAGUUGGUAAGGUAACGGCUUACCAAGGCAACGAUGCAUAGCCGACCUGAGAGGGUGAUCGGCCACACUGGAACUGAGACACGGUCCAGACUCCUACGGGAGGCAGCAGUAGGGAAUCUUCCGCAAUGGGCGAAAGCCUGACGGAGCAACGCCGCGUGAGUGAUGAAGGUCUUCGGAUCGUAAAACUCUGUUAUUAGGGAAGAACAUAUGUGUAAGUAACUGUGCACAUCUUGACGGUACCUAAUCAGAAAGCCACGGCUAACUACGU
RNAcentral lists this ribosomal RNA (496 nucleotides) under uncultured bacterium. Its description in RNAcentral is "partial 16S ribosomal RNA". It matches the Rfam family "Bacterial small subunit ribosomal RNA", at positions 28 to 506 of the family's 1533-position model. The record is from RNAcentral.